GCCCGCAGCUGUAACAGCUGCAGUUCAGCCCAGGUAAUCCACCUAAAACUAAGCAGGUCUGGGCCUGGUCAGCAUUUGGAUGGGAGACCAACUAGGAAAGCUGGGUUGCUGCUGGAA
RNAcentral lists this ribosomal RNA (117 nucleotides) under Paramormyrops kingsleyae. The record is from RNAcentral. Lineage: Eukaryota; Metazoa; Chordata; Actinopteri; Osteoglossiformes; Mormyridae.